This 63-nucleotide transfer RNA is filed under the name Lamprotula scripta. RNAcentral's name for it is "tRNA-Cys". Lineage: Eukaryota; Metazoa; Mollusca; Bivalvia; Unionida; Unionidae. The record is from RNAcentral.
UGCCCUGUAGUAUAUUCAACUAAUACUGUAAACUGCAACUUUACCAAAGCAACAGCCAGGACA